UGCAAGUCGAACGAUGAACCGCUUUCGGGCGGGGAUUAGUGGCGAACGGGUGAGUAACACGUGGGCAAUCUGCCCUGCACUCUGGGACAAGCCCUGGAAACGGGGUCUAAUACCGGAUAUGACUGUCCAUCGCAUGGUGGAUGGUGUAAAGCUCCGGCGGUGCAGGAUGAGCCCGCGGCCUAUCAGCUUGUUGGUGAGGUAGUGGCUCACCAAGGCGACGACGGGUAGCCGGCCUGAGAGGGCGACCGGCCACACUGGGACUGAGACACGGCCCAGACUCCUACGGGAGGCAGCAGUGGGGAAUAUUGCACAAUGGGCGAAAGCCUGAUGCAGCGACGCCGCGUGAGGGAUGACGGCCUUCGGGUUGUAAACCUCUUUCAGCAGGGAAGAAGCGAAAGUGACGGUACCUGCAGAAGAAGCGCCGGCUAACUACGUGCCAGCAGCCGCGGUAAUACGUAGGGCGCAAGCGUUGUCCGGAAUUAUUGGGCGUAAAGAGCUCGUAGGCGGCUUGUCACGUCGGUUGUGAAAGCCCGGGGCUUAACCCCGGGUCUGCAGUCGAUACGGGCAGGCUAGAGUUCGGUAGGGGAGAUCGGAAUUCCUGGUGUAGCGGUGAAAUGCGCAGAUAUCAGGAGGAACACCGGUGGCGAAGGCGGAUCUCUGGGCCGAUACUGACGCUGAGGAGCGAAAGCGUGGGGAGCGAACAGGAUUAGAUAC
This 714-nucleotide ribosomal RNA is filed under the name Streptomyces sp. YIM 56122. RNAcentral describes it as "bacterial SSU rRNA". It matches the Rfam family "Bacterial small subunit ribosomal RNA", at positions 56 to 785 of the family's 1533-position model. The record is from RNAcentral. Lineage: Bacteria; Bacillati; Actinomycetota; Actinomycetes; Kitasatosporales; Streptomycetaceae.